GGCCUGAUGGUCUAGGGGUAUGAUUCUCUCGCUUAGGGUGCGAGAGGUCCCGGGUUCAAAUCCCGGUCAGGCCC
Molecule: non-coding RNA, 74 nt
Organism: Penaeus vannamei (Pacific white shrimp)
Lineage: Eukaryota; Metazoa; Arthropoda; Malacostraca; Decapoda; Penaeidae
Source: the annotation of a RefSeq genome assembly